CUCCAUGCUGGAAGGCUGAAGAUACUGGGUUCUGCUGUCAUCAGAGGACAGUGGCAGUAUUGACAGCAGCUGUAGCAGCAACAGGGCAGGUUGGCUCAACCAGCAAUGCUGGAAGCCUUGCCGGAUGGAUGCUGCCCAGGUCCCUUUGUCUGCAACCGAAGCUCAAAGCCGAAAACCCUGCAGGAAGUGGCUCUGACUAGCGGAUCUGAUUGUGAUAUAGCACGCAGUACUACUGGGCUUUGGGACAUCCUGUAUACUGUGGAGCUGACCAUCCCGCCAUCACUGUCUCCCAGGAUGAACAGAAACAUCCUUAAAGUUCUGGUCCACAGAAUCUCAGUUCCACUACUUAACUCUGUGACCGUGAGUGAGUCAUUUCCUCCCUGAGCCUCAGUCUCCCCACCUCUUAAGUGGAAUGUAAAUAAAUCUACCCUGGAAAA
This is a long non-coding RNA of Mesocricetus auratus (golden hamster), 437 nucleotides long. RefSeq lists it as uncharacterized. The transcript has 3 exons. Lineage: Eukaryota; Metazoa; Chordata; Mammalia; Rodentia; Cricetidae. The record is from RefSeq and is a predicted model, not a curated record.